AGAAACUUAGGAUAACUAUUAAACCAAGGACCUUCAAAGCCCUAAACAGGGGUUAAAAUCCCCUAGUUUCUG
RNAcentral lists this transfer RNA (72 nucleotides) under Phrynosoma modestum. Its description in RNAcentral is "tRNA-Trp". It matches the Rfam family "tRNA". From Rfam's summary of the family: Transfer RNA (tRNA) molecules are approximately 80 nucleotides in length. Their secondary structure includes four short double-helical elements and three loops (D, anti-codon, and T loops). Lineage: Eukaryota; Metazoa; Chordata; Lepidosauria; Squamata; Phrynosomatidae. The record is from RNAcentral.